CCCCUUUACUACCUGAGUGAUGCUGGUUCCUCGCCUCAGAUACUCGUAGAAAUCUUAUGAGGCUUCGCCCCCAACUGGACGUUUGGCGCCACUACGGAGAGCUGCUUGAUGGCUGUGGUGCAGAGGAGCUUUCUGAGGUCGUCUCUGCUGCACUAACAUCUCCCAGAUGGGUCAAGAACUGAGGAAGCGGAGGAGGAGACUUCUGGCUUGGACAGCAAGGGGACCCGUCGAUGCCAAAAUAACCAAGGGACAGUGGAAAGACGGCUGUGUGUGUUUUAUUCAAUCAUGAAAUACAAUGGUUAGUAAUUACAAAAUUGCGAAAGUAUGAAUCACUUUUUGUUGAACUAACCUCCUCAUUGUAAUCGUAGAGCAACGGGCACAAUCCUGUGCGUGUGUUUAUAUGUGUGUAUGUACAUGUAGGUGUGUGAAAUACCACCGAUAUGUAUUUGAAUGUGCACACCAACAUGGCCAUGUGUUUAGAUGCCUUUCACUGAUGUACGUGUACUUGCUUUUGCAUGUGUGUACUCUUGUACUUCUGCUAUCUUUGUGAGGACAGAAUUGAGUUUUAGACCUCAAGACUGAGGACAUUUUUGUAAAGUGAGGACAUUUUGUCCGGUUUGAAGACUUGCUUUUGGGGUUAAAGUUAGGCUAGGUAACGUAAAGGUUGGGGUUAGACACGUAGAUAUGACGGUUGGGGUUAGAGGCUAGGGAAUGCAUUGUGUCAAGUUUCCUUUUUCCACCGCAGGAACUUUUCCAGGAACCCAGAACCUUUUUUAGGAACUGAGGAGGCUGUGUUUCAUCUGGGGGAACAAGCAAUGGAAGAAAUAUGGGCGCUGCAGCUUGUGCAGAUGCACAGAAGCGCUAGCUAUAGUCAUCGUCAUGGCAACACCUGUUUUAGGUGGACAGAACGAUGGCCUUGGCCUCGUCUUAAUCCUGGUAACACAGCUGCCCGGAUUACCGGCGCACCUUGACCUUGAGCGUUUGAAUCCCUCACUUCCCGGGACAAAGCUGUCGGCCGGUUCACCUGCCGCUCCGCUGAUGGAGAGAUAAACUGAGGAGGAGACGUCAGGCUCAACACAGUCUGAUACACAUCACAGAUGUUACUUCAUUUCAUUAAACGAAAGCUGCUGGUGGCUCAGCACAGUGUUUUAGUUGAUAGAUGAUUGUUGGCUUUUUAUCAAAACUCAUAUCGGCAAGUCAGAGCCAUUCAUCUUUAAUAAUGAUGGUGUUUGAUUUAUUGUUGUUGAACUGAUGGUAAUGCUGCAAAAAUACCCACAAAUAUGUUUUAAUCAAUUGCCCAGUAGUUUCAGAGGCUUCUCCAACAGGCCACGAAAAAGAUUUUUGUGAAAAUGUCUUAGUAAUUGCAACAUUUUAAUAUCAGCUCCAUCAAACACAUGUGAAUGUUUUGAUAAAAAAAAUUGCCAUAAAACAUUUUGUGAACAAGUCACGAAAUUUCUGCCUAAAUUUCUGGUCUUAUUGCACCUUUGAAGAUGGAAAUAGUAAUUCCAGUAUUUGUCAAGUUGGGUUUUAUUCUCAUAAUUGUGGCCGUUCUGACAAUGGGGUCAUGCUAACUAAUGCUAACACUCACCGCUUCUGCUGUAGAGAUUUGGGAAAUGCUGCUAAAACAAUAUAUAACAGCAAGCAGUAUGAGCCACCUAACGCUUUCUUAAUGAACUUAAAUUUCACAUGAAUUAUUUCGCUUAACGCUUGUGUCUGAGUCCGAACAAAAGUAAACACAGAAAGUAACCUCCUGGAUCAGCUAUUGUAACUAGCUGCAUAGAGAGCUUCUUCAGGGGCAACUCAUCGGCUAACCAAACUAGCUUUGUAAGUUUACAGAGGUGGCGAGUGUAAAGACUAUAGUCAAAAUGGCCACAAUUAUGAGAAUAAGACCCAGAUUGAAAAAUACCAUAAUGCUCCUUUAAUGAACUUUAAUGUCCUGCAUUCUUUAAAAAAUAUCUCAUUUGAAUAUUUGAUGUCCACAGCCAAAUAAAUUGUCAAUUCCAAAAGUAUUUUUAUUGGUCUCCACAUUAAACAUACC
This is a long non-coding RNA of Siniperca chuatsi (mandarin fish), 2038 nucleotides long. RefSeq lists it as uncharacterized. The record is from RefSeq and is a predicted model, not a curated record. Lineage: Eukaryota; Metazoa; Chordata; Actinopteri; Centrarchiformes; Sinipercidae. The transcript is spliced from 3 exons.